RNAcentral lists this ribosomal RNA (358 nucleotides) under uncultured bacterium. RNAcentral's name for it is "bacterial SSU rRNA". It matches the Rfam family "Bacterial small subunit ribosomal RNA", at positions 29 to 387 of the family's 1533-position model. The record is from RNAcentral.
AUUGAACGCUGGCGGCAUGCCUUACACAUGCAAGUCGAACGGCAGCACGGGAGCAAGCCUGGUGGCGAGUGGCGAACGGGUGAGUAAUACAUCGGAACGUGCCCAGUAGUGGGGGAUAACCCGGCGAAAGCCGGACUAAUACCGCGUACGACCUACGGGUGAAAGCAGGGGAUCGCAAGACCUUGCGCUAUUGGAGCGGCCGAUGUCAGAUUAGCUAGUUGGUGGGGUAAAAGCCCACCAAGGCGACGAUCUGUAGCUGGUCUGAGAGGACGACCAGCCACACUGGGACUGAGACACGGCCCAGACUCCUACGGGAGGGCAGCAGUGGGGAAUUUUGGACAAUGGGCGCAAGCCUGAU